UUUGGACUCAAUCCGAUAUCGAUAGGUCCACGAAAUUUGACAAUUCAGGUUCGUAUGAAGUUCGUUCCGAAAUGGGGUGGUUGGGGUAUUGUAUAGUUCUAGAGAUUGGAUUCCACUCAAAACCCACCAACUGACUCCUCCCACAAUAUUAUGAUGUUCCCCAAAUCUCCCCCCGCAAUCCGAUAUCGAUCGGUCCCCCCAAGUUUGACAAUUCAGGUUCGUACGAAGUUCGUUCUGAAAUGGAGUGGUUGGUGUAUUGUAUAGUUCUAGGGAUUGUAUUUCACUCAAAACCCACCAAAUGACUCCUCCCACAAUAUUAUGAUGUUCCCCAAGUUUUGGACUCAAUCCGAUAUCGAUUGGGGCUUGAAAU
Molecule: long non-coding RNA, 370 nt
Filed under: Prunus persica (peach)
Lineage: Eukaryota; Viridiplantae; Streptophyta; Magnoliopsida; Rosales; Rosaceae
Description: long non-coding RNA (PPER_LNC008804)
Source: RNAcentral